GAUGAACGCUGGCGGCGUGCCUAAUACAUGCAAGUCGAGCGAACAGACGAGGAGCUUGCUCCUCUGACGUUAGCGGCGGACGGGUGAGUAACACGUGGAUAACCUACCUAUAAGACUGGGAUAACUUCGGGAAACCGGAGCUAAUACCGGAUAAUAUAUUGAACCGCAUGGUUCAAUAGUGAAAGACGGUUUUGCUGUCACUUAUAGAUGGAUCCGCGCCGCAUUAGCUAGUUGGUAAGGUAACGGCUUACCAAGGCAACGAUGCGUAGCCGACCUGAGGGUGAUCGGCCACACUGGAACUGAGACACGGUCCAGACUCCUACGGGAGGCAGCAGUAGGGAAUCUUCCGCAAUGGGCGAAAGCCUGACGGAGCAACGCCGCGUGAGUGAUGAAGGUCUUCGGAUCGUAAAACUCUGUUAUUAGGGAAGAACAAAUGUGUAAGUAACUAUGCACGUCUUGACGGUACCUAAUCAGAAAGCCACGGCUAACUCCGUG
Molecule: ribosomal RNA, 495 nt
Filed under: uncultured bacterium
Lineage: Bacteria
Description: partial 16S ribosomal RNA
Rfam family: Bacterial small subunit ribosomal RNA
Source: RNAcentral